RNAcentral lists this ribosomal RNA (3041 nucleotides) under Insectozyma bohioensis. RNAcentral describes it as "Candida bohioensis large subunit ribosomal RNA". The stretch from base 482 to 2783 matches the Rfam family "Bacterial large subunit ribosomal RNA". The record is from RNAcentral. Lineage: Eukaryota; Fungi; Ascomycota; Pichiomycetes; Serinales; Debaryomycetaceae.
AUUUAAGGUUCAUUUAUACGGUAAGGCGGUAAAUAAUUAUGAAUGACAUAAAUACUAUUGUAUAGUUUUCAUACUAAUUUAAUUAUAAUAUAAUUACUUUUAAAGUAAAUUAUAUUACCAGGACAAAGUUAAGGUAUAACCAAUCCUAUAUAUAAAUAUAAUAUAUAAGAAAUAUGUGAAUUGAAACAUCUAAGUAACAUAUGCAUUAACCAAGAGGGAAAAUAGAAGUACUGGUGAAGGAAACUAUAAAAGCAUUAAAGUAAUGCCAUGAGGUAUGAAUAAAGUAGUAACUACUACUAAUGCAAAUGAUAUUAAAUUAAGUAAGAAAGUACUGUGAGGGAAAGUAUAUAUUAUAGUAUAUUACUGAGCUAGUUAAAAAUAUAUAUAUAUUUAUUUAUAUAUUUAUAUAUAUAUUUUAGCAUAGAUACGAUGAGUAAAUCCCCCAUCUACAUUUAUGUAGAUGGGUGGAAGAAAAGAGUUCUAUUGUAUAUAUAUUUAUAUACUAAUUCAAUAGUAAAGAGAAGUUAUAGUAUAACGUACCUCUUGUAUUAUGGGUCAGCGAGUUAAUAUAAUAGGUGAAAUAUUAAUUAUAUAUAAUAAGAGAUAUAUAAAUAAUCUAUUAUAUUAGACCCGAAAGUAUAUGAUCUAUAUAUAACCAGGUUUUAUAAAUAUAUAUUGAAAAAGGUAUAUAUAUUGGUAAUGACGUAAUCACGCGCCUAAUACUUGUUUAGAACAAGGAUAGGCGCGUGGAGAUUUAUUAAAUUAUAAAGACCUAAUGAAUGAAUGUUGCAAUAUUCUUCAAUGAGUUAUGUAUAGUAGUGAAAGGCAAAUCUGAUAUACUAAUAGCUGGUUAUCUACGAAAUAUAUGUUAGUAUAGCCUUCAUAAAUAUAUAACAUGGUAAAGCACUAAAAAUUAUAUAGGGGUUUAAACUUACUUUAUAUUAUUAAUCUCUGAAACAUGUUUAUAAUUUAUUAUGAAGAGUCAGACAAUAUGCGAUAAGGUAUAUUGUCUAAAGGGGAACAACCCAGAUUAUUAUUCAAAAGUCCCUAAUCAAUACUGAGUGGAUAGAAUCCUAUACUUUUUAUUUUGGUCCAUAUUUUAUAUGCUAAUUUAAACCCAUUUACUAUAUUUAUAUAUAUAUAUUUAUAUAUAUAUCUAAAUCAUAGAGAAAUAUAUCGAUGUACAUAGGGUUAUAUAAUAUAGGUUUAUAUCAAUAAACAAAUGUAUUUUCACUGGGUAUAUGCGAUCUUUAUAAAGGCGCGGGAAUCUAGGAAUUGUGAGUAUCCGAUCAGUCGGUAAUGUUGAUAGUACAUAUCCGUUAACGAAAGUGUAAUAACUUACUGGUCAAAGAAACAUAAAUAUGCAUUUAUGCUCAUGAAAUAGGAAUAAAUAUACGGGCCUAAGUAUUGGACUGAGAAAUAGAUUACGGAUAUAGGUAUCCCCCGCGCAAUAUCAUUUUAUAUGAUAUUUGCGCGGGGAUUGAAUGAUAUUUAUGUAAUGGUAGUAGAUUAUACUAUAAUAAUUUAAUAGUAAAGAAAAUGCUGACUUGAGUAACGAUAGGUAAUUUUAGAUUACCCCUGAUACAUAUAAGGUUUUAUAAUAAAUUAACGGUCUCUAAUAUUAUAUAUUAAUAUAUAUAAUUGAUGAGUGAUAGGACAAGAAAAUAUUUUAACCGUACUGUAAACCGACUCAGGUAUAUGUAAUUAUAUUUAAUUUUUAUAUAUUUUUAAUAUAUAUAUAUAUAAAUAUAAAUAACAGGAAUGAGAUAACUAUUGUGAAUGAACUCGGCAAAAAAUAAUUGAUAUUAAUCAGUACGACUGUUCACCAUAAACAUAGCCUACUGCGAUCAGGUGACUGACAGUAUAGUAGGUGAUGCCUGCCCAGUGUAAGUUGGAUAAUAAAUAAUAAGCUUGUCAACGGCGGCCUUAUCAUGAGGGUCCGAAGGUAGCGUAAUACCUAGGCAUUUAAUUGGUGUCCUGCAUGAAUGUACACACGAUACUGAAACUGUAUCCACAAUAGACUCAGUGAAAUAAUAAUAGCAGUGAAGAUACUGUUUAGCUAUAGUAGGACAAGAAGACCCUAUGCAGCUUUACUAUACCUAUCUAAUGUAUAAUAUAUUUUAUAUGAGUUAACUUAUAUUUAAAUAUAGAUCUACUAAUAGUUCAGCGGUUUAGCCGCUAAGAGAACCAUGCCCGCAUUAAGGCGAAGGUUAUUAAAUUUUUAAAUAAAAAAUAAAUAGAACUAAACUUUGGAUAGUUGUUAGUUCCGAUGGGGCGUCGACAUCACACAAAAUAACUGAUGUGUCCAAUUAUAAAAAUUAUAAAAAAUAUAUUUAUAAAAAAAUAUUGAGAUAGCCCGCGCAAUACGUUAUACGUAUGCGCGGGCAUUAGAUAUUUAUAACAAAAUAAAGGUAAUAGAAUGACAAAGUAUGGUAAAUCUAAAUGGUUAUUAGAUAAAAAUGUAAAAUAGCAUUAUCAUGCAUAGAUUACAACACAAACGAGUGAAGUAAGUACUUAAGUAUAGUAUAUUGAACAGGCAAGAUCAUAUAGUGCUUGAGUGUCGAUUAACGGAUCACAGUUACGCUAGGGAUAACAGGGUAAUCCCACUAGAGAGUUGAUAUCGCCAGUGGGGUUUGCCACCUCGAUGUCGUCUAGGCUUAACCUCCUGGUCGUAGUUGUUGGGAAGGGUAUGACUGUUCGUCAUGUAAUAAGCCACUUGAGAUGGGUUAAGUACGACGUGAGUCAGUACGGAUUAUAUCCUCUAUAGCUUUUAAUAUUAUGAUAAAUUGUCUGUGUACGAAAGGAUUGGAUGAUAUUUCCCAAUGGUUAUAGGUUAUAUUUUAUAAAAUUAAAAUAUAAUAUAUUAAUACUAUAAGCUAAGGUAAUUAUGAGUAAUAAUGAAUGCAUAAAUCUAUGAAACUAAUCAUAAAUAUUAUAUAAACAUUAUAUAUUAUAAUGUAAUAGUAAUUUUAUUUAAGAUAAAAUAAACUAAUAAAAAAUGUCAUUCAGAAUAAUGAUAUUUCCCGUGAGGUUUAAAAAAC